GAGACACCCUUAUGGGGCAGGACUUGCUUCAUGGGGCUUUGGUGCUCACUGAGUCUGCCCCUUGAAUGUGUCGCU
Non-coding RNA from Myotis lucifugus (little brown bat), 75 nucleotides. Lineage: Eukaryota; Metazoa; Chordata; Mammalia; Chiroptera; Vespertilionidae. The record is from Rfam.